Molecule: ribosomal RNA, 643 nt
Filed under: uncultured Actinomycetes bacterium
Lineage: Bacteria; Bacillati; Actinomycetota; Actinomycetes
Description: bacterial SSU rRNA
Rfam family: Bacterial small subunit ribosomal RNA
Source: RNAcentral
CGCGGCCUAUCAGCUUGUUGGUGAGGUAAUGGCUUACCAAGGCGACGACGGGUAGCCGGCCUGAGAGGGUGACCGGCCACACUGGGACUGAGACACGGCCCAGACUCCUACGGGAGGCAGCAGUGGGGAAUAUUGCACAAUGGGCGGAAGCCUGAUGCAGCGACGCCGCGUGAGGGAUGACGGCCUUCGGGUUGUAAACCUCUUUCAGUAGGGAAGAAGCGAAAGUGACGGUACCUGCAGAAGAAGCGCCGGCUAACUACGUGCCAGCAGCCGCGGUAAUACGUAGGGCGCAAGCGUUAUCCGGAAUUAUUGGGCGUAAAGAGCUCGUAGGCGGUUUGUCGCGUCUGCCGUGAAAGUCCGGGGCUCAACUCCGGAUCUGCGGUGGGUACGGGCAGACUAGAGUGAUGUAGGGGAGACUGGAAUUCCUGGUGUAGCGGUGAAAUGCGCAGAUAUCAGGAGGAACACCGAUGGCGAAGGCAGGUCUCUGGGCAUUAACUGACGCUGAGGAGCGAAAGCAUGGGGAGCGAACAGGAUUAGAUACCCUGGUAGUCCAUGCCGUAAACGUUGGGCACUAGGUGUGGGGGACAUUCCACGUUUUCCGCGCCGUAGCUAACGCAUUAAGUGCCCCGCCUGGGGAGUACGG